UACGUAUGGUGCAAGCGUUAUCCGGAUUUACUGGGUGUAAAGGGAGCGCAGGCGGUGCGGCAAGUCUGAUGUGAAAGCCCGGGGCUCAACCCCGGUACUGCAUUGGAAACUGUCGUACUAGAGUGUCGGAGGGGUAAGCGGAAUUCCUAGUGUAGCGGUGAAAUGCGUAGAUAUUAGGAGGAACACCAGUGGCGAAGGCGGCUUACUGGACGAUAACUGACGCUUAGGCUCGAAAGCGUGGGGAGCAAACAGG
Molecule: ribosomal RNA, 253 nt
Filed under: Roseburia faecis M72/1
Lineage: Bacteria; Bacillati; Bacillota; Clostridia; Lachnospirales; Lachnospiraceae
Description: partial 16S ribosomal RNA
Rfam family: Bacterial small subunit ribosomal RNA
Source: RNAcentral